Molecule: ribosomal RNA, 476 nt
Filed under: uncultured organism
Description: partial 16S ribosomal RNA
Rfam family: Bacterial small subunit ribosomal RNA
Source: RNAcentral
GUACACUCCUGCGGGAGGCAGCAGUGGGGAAUAUUGCACAAUGGGCGCAAGCCUGAUGCAGCCAUGCCGCGUGUAUGAAGAAGGCCUUCGGGUUGUAAAGUACUUUCAGCGGGGAGGAAGGCAAUACGGUUAAUAACCGUGUUGAUUGACGUUACCCGCAGAAGAAGCACCGGCUAACUCCGUGCCAGCAGCCGCGGUAAUACGGAGGGUGCAAGCGUUAAUCGGAAUUACUGGGCGUAAAGCGCACGCAGGCGGUCUGUCAAGUCGGAUGUGAAAUCCCCGGGCUCAACCUGGGAACUGCAUUCGAAACUGGCAGGCUUGAGUCUUGUAGAGGGGGGUAGAAUUCCAGGUGUAGCGGUGAAAUGCGUAGAGAUCUGGAGGAAUACCGGUGGCGAAGGCGGCCCCCUGGACAAAGACUGACGCUCAGGUGCGAAAGCGUGGGGAGCAAACAGGGUUAGAAACCCCAGUAGUCCCAU